Molecule: long non-coding RNA, 2292 nt
Organism: Oncorhynchus kisutch (coho salmon)
Lineage: Eukaryota; Metazoa; Chordata; Actinopteri; Salmoniformes; Salmonidae
Exons: 4
Source: RefSeq, a predicted model, not a curated record
UAAAGUGAAUCCAUUAUUGCAUAUAACAUGACACCACUGUUUUUUAAGCAAAUUCAAAGACAUUGUGUGUUUUGAGUGUGAUGAUCUUUGACCUUAGGAGGCUAUGGACGGAAGCUGAUACUGGCCGACGGGGACAUGGUGAAACAGAAGGGGACAUGGUGAAACAGAAGGCUGAUGAGCUCCUGAAAGAGUCUGAGUGACAUGGUCCUGAGAGAAGUGAAUACUGGAAUACAAUGCAGGGUCAUCCAUAAUGCCUCCAUGAACGCAGUUGAAUGCUGUGGCCUCCAGCUGUAGAACUUUGGAGAGACUGUGUCCAUUGUGUUCUGGACAGACACCUGGAGACCGGAAACAUUCUAUGAUGAAAUCAAGAAGAACAGGGACUUAGGGAUGAACACACUAUGCCUGAUUGCCAUUAGUGAGAAGAUAUGCGUGGGUCUGGCCAGGGUGGGAGCCGAGGACCAGGCCAUCCAAUACGGCAUCUUGUGACCUGGCGGCCCGCUACACUCCAUGAUCGUGACGGGUCACCUGCACCCGCUGGAGAUAGACAUGCUAUGUCUGUCAGCCACCACCCCCAACAUACAGCAGGACCUCAACGUACAACUCCUAAUGCACACACCCCAUCUCAACUGACUCUCAGGAUCUCUGAAGGUUCUCCACAAAGACAGUCUGAGACAGUUCCACCCAGGGCCAUGUGUUGUAUAGGCCUACCAACUCUUAUCCAUACCGUUGUUGACUUGACUCGCCUAACAGAUGAACGACACAAAUGCAGCAGUAGGGUCAGGGUGAUGGAUCAACAUCAUGCCAUAAAAGGAGAGCCCGUGAUUGCUUUAGGGCUAUUGUACUCUGAAUACGCCAAUGUAUCCGGUAGUUUAAUCUCACUAUGGCCUUGGAAUCAGGGUCAACAAAUUAUCUUGACGCUCGCUGGUCGUUGUCUGUAUUGUGUGUCAUAAAAUGUCAUUAGCCUGAUUGAGGAGGAAAUGAAGAAAAAAGGUCACAGAGGAACAACUGCUCAGUAACAGUGUCUUGGUAUAAAGUGAAGCUGUUCAGUAGUCUUGUAUUGGAAAAUGACAACACAGACUAAGGAAAAUGCAAUCAGUUAUUUUAGGGUCAGUUACCCAGACCCAGAUCAACCAAUUCCUGGACUUUAAAACCACUUUUUAAUUGAGAUUAUCCAAAGAGAAUGCUUUUAGGUGAUCAAAAUGUUAGUGAUUGCUACUUGCCAUUUUUAUUUUCUUAGGCAAAUCGGAGACAACCUGGAAUGCUAUAGCCACCUUUUUCUGGGUCUGUAAAACCAGCCUUAAUAGUAUGACAUUUGGUAACGUAAUUAUUUACAGAUAGGAAAUCAUGGAUGACAAACAGAGCAAUUUCCUUGUUUAAAGAUAUGCACCACCUGUCAAAUAUGUAACAAUUAACAGUGGAACUAAACAAACAUUGAGAUAUACACAAGCUUCACCUUUUCAAGGUGAAGUUUAAACUAUUAUCCCAUGUCAACCUCCAUUCCUGCAAACACAAAUAAUGAGAAAGAAUAUAAAAUGUGCAGUAAAAUCAUUUAUUACAUUUCAAAAGAAGAUUGGAACUGGCCAACUGCAAACUUAAGACCAAUGAGGAUAAUAAAAUCCUGGGUUUUAGGCUAACUUCAUUUUGAUGUCUGUUUCAACCAUCCCCUUUAACAAGGUGGUAAGCAGCUGUUCAUGGUUCAAAUAAAGCUGCUGUGUGCCAUCCAGGGAAUUAUGUCAAGCGUGGUCAAGAGGAAUUCUUACAACUUUCCCUUAGGAAAAAUUACCCUGACAACUCUCAAAAGGAUGUUCGAUCAAAGAUGGAACCAAAAGAGUUGGAAUAAGACCCAUGUCGGCCGUCUGAUUCCCUCCGGGUCUUGAAGGACAUGAUGAUUCCAGUCGCACAUACGUAAACGAAUGGCUUCUCACAUGAGGAUAUGACGGAUUGUCCAUUAUUUGAUUCAAAAGGCACUUAAGAAACCCAGAAUGACAGUUGAAUGGCUCAAGUGUGCAAAGUGCAACUAAAUGGCCAAACGGAAUAUGCCCCCUAGUUAAUUAUGUGGGACUGGUAUGAUAGACGUACAAACGUUGGCUUAACACAAAACGUCCAUUGAAGUGUACUUAAACUCCUAUCAGACAAUAGUUAAAUGAAUUAAAACCCCAUCUUAAUGGGAAAAAGGAUCUAACCAAGACAUGCAGUAUGGCCCGUGAGUUCUCAGACAAAUGUCCUAAACAGUAGAAUGGGUGGAAGUGUGUGUGUGUGUGUGUGUGGGUGUGCAGUGUCUGAAGCAAAGUU